UAUCUCUGUAGAGUCUGCAUAUCAAUAAGCGGAGGAAAAGAAACUAACUAGGAUUCCCUUAGUAACGGCGAGUGAAGCGGGAAGAGCUCAAAUUUGAAAUCUUCAAGGUUCUACCUUGACGAAUUGUAGUUUAAAGAAGUGUUUUCUGUUAGAUGAGUAGCAAAAGUUCCUUGGAAUAGGGACAUCAUAGAGGGUGAGAAUCCCGUAUUUGACUUAUUCAUUCUAGCUUUGUGAUACACUUUCAAAGAGUCGGAUUGUUUGGGAAUGCAGUCCAAAAUGGGUGGUAAAUUUCAUCUAAAGCUAAAUAUUGGCGAGAGACCGAUAGCGAACAAGUACCGUGAGGGAAAGAUGAAAAGAACUUUGAAAAGAGAGUUAAACAGUACGUGAAAUUGUCAAAAGGGAAGCGUUUGACACCAGUGUUGUUUUUCCGAAAAUCAAUUACGAAUGGCUUGAUUCUGUGUUGUAUUGACCUUAUCAGCUUUCUGCACUUUUUUCGAGUCUUUCUUAAUGCACUUUUCGGUUAACAAGUCAACAUCAAUUUCUUUUGUUGUAAAAGAGGUCAUUCGGAAGGUGGCUUUCUUUUCGGAGAAAGUGUUUAUAGCCUUAUGCCUCUACAAUCGGAGAGAUUGAGGUCUGCAGCGUAGAUCCUUCGGGGUUAGAUACAUUUGUGCUAAGUUAGUAGCCUUUCAUAGACAACUUGUUGACUAUGAUCAGUCAUGUAGGCUUACUCGCUUAUGCUAUUUUACCUACGCUUAGGAUGUUGA
RNAcentral lists this ribosomal RNA (764 nucleotides) under uncultured Neocallimastigales. RNAcentral's name for it is "partial large subunit ribosomal RNA". It matches the Rfam family "Eukaryotic large subunit ribosomal RNA", at positions 24 to 629 of the family's 3401-position model. Lineage: Eukaryota; Fungi; Neocallimastigomycota; Neocallimastigomycetes; Neocallimastigales. The record is from RNAcentral.